Molecule: ribosomal RNA, 132 nt
Filed under: Escherichia coli
Lineage: Bacteria; Pseudomonadati; Pseudomonadota; Gammaproteobacteria; Enterobacterales; Enterobacteriaceae
Also listed under: 38 other names
Description: partial 16S ribosomal RNA
Rfam family: Bacterial small subunit ribosomal RNA
Source: RNAcentral
UUAAAUUGAAGAGUUUGAUCAUGGCUCAGAUUGAACGCUGGCGGCAGGCCUAACACAUGCAAGUCGAACGGUAACAGGAAGCAGCUUGCUGCUUCGCUGACGAGUGGCGGACGGGUGAGUAAUGUCUGGGAA